Molecule: ribosomal RNA, 446 nt
Filed under: uncultured bacterium
Lineage: Bacteria
Description: partial 16S ribosomal RNA
Rfam family: Bacterial small subunit ribosomal RNA
Source: RNAcentral
CCUACGGGCGGCAGCGGUCGAGAAUCAUUCACAAUGGGGGAAACCCUGAUGGUGCGACGCCGCGUGGGGGAAUGAAGGUCUUCGGAUUGUAAACCCCUGUCAUGUGGGAGCAAAUUAAAAAGAUAGUACCACAAGAGGAAGAGACGGCUAACUCUGUGCCAGCAGCCGCGGUAAUACAGAGGUCUCAAGCGUUGUUCGGAAUCACUGGGCGUAAAGUGUGCGUAGGCUGUUUCGUAAGUCGUGUGUGAAAGGCGCGGGCUCAACCCGCGGACGGCACAUGAUACUGCGAGACUAGAGUAAUGGAGGGGGAACCGGAAUUCUCGGUGUAGCAGUGAAAUGCGUAGAUAUCGAGAGGAACACUCGUGGCGAAGGCGGGUUCCUGGACAUUAACUGACGCUGAGGCACGAAGGCCAGGGGAGCGAAAGGGAUUAGAUACCCCUGUAGUC